GCUUUUGCGCAGGGGCAGUAUUGUAGCCGAUGAGGUUUAUCCGAGGCGUGAUUAUUACUAAUUGUAAUCAAGUUUCUCUGGAUUGGUUUACUAAUUGGUCUAUUCUUUGGUGCUCAUGAAUUUAA
Molecule: small nuclear RNA, 125 nt
Filed under: Zalophus californianus (California sea lion)
Lineage: Eukaryota; Metazoa; Chordata; Mammalia; Carnivora; Otariidae
Description: U4 spliceosomal RNA (ENSZCAG00015015215.1)
Rfam family: U4 spliceosomal RNA
About the family: U4 small nuclear RNA (U4 snRNA) is a component of the major U2-dependent spliceosome. The structure of U4 snRNA from yeast and human has been reported.
Source: RNAcentral